Non-coding RNA from Castor canadensis (American beaver), 487 nucleotides. The record is from RefSeq and is a predicted model, not a curated record. NCBI's taxonomy places the organism in Eukaryota, Metazoa, Chordata, Mammalia, Rodentia, Castoridae.
AGCAGCAGCUCACUUUCAUCAGCACUGUUGAAAGAAGAAGAAAAAAUGUCUGUGCUAUCUCCUGAAAUCAAAUUUGAGACUUCUAAAGUCACUCGAAGCUCCUUGGACAACUGUUUUCCUUUUGAGAAUAGUUGGAGGAAAGCAGUUUUAGAAACACAAAAGAUGAAAAAGGAAUACACCACAGCAUUUGGGAUACAAGAGCCCAAAGAAUGUGUCAAAAUGCCGUAUUUACCAGGAUUGCCAAGUGGCCAGAAGAAUAAUAAAGAAGACUAAGACAUGCACUGUGGUACCACUUCAGAAGAAAUCAAAAGGUUCUGGCUUCAGCGACCCUCUCACUGGAGCAUCAUCUCAGUACUUACAGAGACUCUCCAGAAUGGCUAUUUUGGAGUAUGAUACCAUUCGUCAGGAAACAAGCAAAAAAUCAAAGAAAAGCAAGAAGCGAGACCUGCGAGACUGCUAAGGAAUACCACGGUGUGAUGCUUUCUUC